GACUUCCCCAUCUGAGCAGCAGCCCGAAAGGAUGGCGUAGAUGCUGGAUCCUUUUGUUCCAAAUGUUCUAUACACACCUUCACACUGGAACCAAUGCAAGACAGAAAGCCAGCAACAGUCUGGAACACAGCCAAGGAACGCAGGGAUUUCCCCGAUCUCCGUAAUAUUUGUUCAAGCCUAGUUCACCUACACGUACAAGAGACUUCAAGAAACCACAGCCAAAGGAAACAAGUAUCUUCUAAGAUUGAUCCAAGAUAUCUCGGGCUUUUGUUCUGGGAGCAUUCGCCGCCGAUGGAUGUCUUGGAUGUCUGGGAUCUCUACUCCGCAAUUAUAGGAAAAACAUCUGCCAGGACAAUUCACUCGUCAAAUUCAUUAUACAAAUGUACAACUUUCGGGACGGAGGCGGAAGAUGGCUGCAAUAAAUAAUACCGUAUGGGGAAAUCUA
This is a long non-coding RNA of Drosophila pseudoobscura, 445 nucleotides long. RefSeq lists it as uncharacterized. The transcript has 2 exons. The record is from RefSeq and is a predicted model, not a curated record. NCBI's taxonomy places the organism in Eukaryota, Metazoa, Arthropoda, Insecta, Diptera, Drosophilidae.